GAGCUGAGGCCCAGUGUCCCUUACGCCCAUGUUCCUCUGGCCAAAGCAAAUCACAUGACUGACAUUAACAGAGAGAAGAAGCUGCUCUGCUCAAGGGGACAGGCACUGCAAAGAUAUCUGGCAAGGAUGUGGAUGUCUUACUGGGGAACAAAGAAUUGUGACCCAUAAUCUAGUGUAUUUCAGAAGGCUUGGGAAGCCCUCAGAGUAGGUGGCAUUCGAACUAACACCUGAACAAAGAGAAAGAAUCAGCCCUGUGAUGAUCUUGAGGACUAGUUCCAAGCAGAGGACUCAGUUGGGAGAAGGUCCUAUGGCAGGAACAGACUUGAAGGAGUGGAUGAAACAAGAAGAAUCAAGUAUGACUGGAUGGGACUGAGCAAGAGGAGGCUUGGAGAGGUCCAUCAGCUUGUGAUGGAGAGCGAAACACCAGGUUAGGAGCAGCUACAGGCCAGAAGAGGAAUGUCCUACGUGAACGUGAUUUAACAGCUCCAUCGCCUGGGGCCACGUGGAAUUCUUGAAGCAGCUGUGUCAGACAUCCGAGUCAAGUUGGGGCAUGAGUGACCUCUCAACAUCUAAUGGAGCAUUUACUCCUUAGGCAGUUGAUGACAAUAGUUCUCCAAACCUGCUGAUCCCAAGGUGGCAGGUUUCCCGGUCAGCUGUGGCUCUGAAGUAGGAGGGGUUUGCAGGAGUAUCACACACAGCUGUAGAAGGAACAGAAUCAGAGCUGGAGAGGGAGAAUUGCUCCAUGGCCAUGAGUGGGUGUCCUCUCAAGCGGAGCCCCGAGUCCAGUAGAACUUGAGGCUUUUCGCCAACCCACGAAGUGCAGAUGGUAACGCUUGCUGUUGUGUCCCUGAGACUAUAUAGGGCCUAGUGUCUGGUUUAUGCCCUUGCACUGGGUCACUCUCACCCUGGAAUCACCCGGCUGGGGACUGAACCUCUCCUGCCACCACUCCAACUCCUCCUGAGACACUCACCUCCUAAGACACUCACCUCCUGGAAAGGCCACAUCUGUUUGCCAAGGACAGAGGCACCUUCUUUGGUCCAGAGAGCUGCAGGCUGUGGUUUAUUUCGCUGGCGACCUCUUCAUCACCAGGACUGUUCCAUAGAGUGCUGUGGUACCCGUGAAAGCCAAACUUCUAAGCUUCUCAAGUUCAAAUGAUAACUUCUCUCUGUUACCUUUUGUCAAGAAAACUUUGGAUUAUGAAUCUCCGUUAUGGGGGCUCAUAAAAUGAAUUGGGGUGCAUUCAUAGAGUUGGAACACUCUGGAGCCACUGAAAAGAAUGCGGCAAAGCUGUAAAAAGGAAAGAUGUCUGUGAUAUCAUCUAUAUUCUUUUAUGUUGUUAAGUGACAAAAUCCAGCUGUAGAGGAGCAUGAAUUGUUUUAUUCCAUGUUUAUUACAUAAUGAGUGUAGUGUCGGGAAAGCCAUAUACCAAAUUGUUCACAAUGGUUAUCUUGGGGGAGUGGAGCUUGGGAACUUGUACUCUUUGCUUGAUGCAUCUCUGCUUUGUCUCUCUCUUGAAUCAGCAUGAAUAAUUUUUUAAAAUUAGAAAACCUUCUUAUUAAUAUGGAGGUAAAUAUUGGGGCAGUCCAAGAUGGCAGCGGUCUCACGGUGAGGCCCUUGUUUUAUGGGAAGAACAUGAAGGUAGGAGUUUAAGAAACCCGAUUUUUCUCUUAACCAGGGGUUUUUCCUAAUUUUUUGUGCCAUGAUCCCUCAGGACAGUGUGAUGAAGUUUUUGGCUCCCUUCUCAGAACAAUGCCUUAGGGGCAUAACGUGAAAUACGUAGAAUUACAAAAGAAGCCAAAUAUAUUGAAAUAUAGUUAUCAAAAUACUUUUUAAAAAUUUUAUGAUAUAGUAAUAUAUGUGUAUUAAAAUAUAAGAUCUGGCUGCAGGUCUAAUAACGAUUUAAUUUAAAACUAGCCAUGAGCAUAAGUGAUAUUUUGAGAAAUCUGCAACAGCUGAAUAUUGCAUGAAAAUGUCUGUGACUUCUGGUGACAAAGUCAGAUGUGCUAGUGCUACUGUGGUUUGUCACCUUCUUCAUAAAUGAAGAAAAUGCUAGAUUGUAGUUAGAGGUAGUGAAAAUAAAGACGUAAUUUCCCAUCCAAUAUCAUAGAUCCCUGUUUAAAUUUCCCAGCCUAACAUCUAAUGUUCUUAACUGGCUGGGAAGUGUUGAAUAAUAUUGUUCCCGCCCUCACAGUCUCAACUGUUUCAUCAGUAAAAUGAGGGGCUAAGUGAUGGCAAAUGUGUAUGAUCUUACAUGUCAACUGUGAUUGAUUGGUAGUGACUUGGUGAGGCAUUUUGAGAUCACCUCUGAGUUCAAUUGGAAAGGAUGCCAAUUGGAAAGGAUGAAUGAUUGGUGAUGUCUGCCAUGGGUACUAGAUGGGGGAGAGAGCAAAGCGUGCAUGGCGUACAUGUCCAUUCCUUGACUAGAUGAGCCUGUGGCCCCUUCCACCUCUGAUAUUCUACUAUGUAUGAAAGUAAUUAUUCUCUUCUGAUUCUAAUUUAACAUAUCUCCUGUCCAACAACAAGAGCAACAACACAAGCAUUGGUUAGCCCUUCCUGGGGGCUUUGUGUGUGUGUGGCAUUGGCACUACCAACUCUACCCCUGUGGACCAAGUCUUCUGAUAGACUUUUUAUUAAGUAAAAUUGUAAGCAUUACCUCCAGUUUCAAUGAUAGAAUGGUUACUGGGAACAGAUUGUCUAGGAAGAAAACACAAAUUAGUAAACACAGUCUUACAAAUGAGCCAUCUGGAGAUUUAUUUACAUAAGAAAAGAGGAAGGACUUGGUAUUUUCAUGCUGGGGUUUGUUUCUCUUGCAAGUAGCCACAGGGGUGUAUUUAUCACGAGCACACAUUGAGCUUUUUAGUGAAGAUCACUGAAAGCAUGAAAAAAAAAUGCGCAUUUGGUUGGUUAUUUGGGAAAUGGGAAGGAAGAGAAGGGAGAGAGUAAGAGAGUCACACAUACACAUAUGCACACAAAGUUUUUGAAUGAAUUUUAGCAUAUAAGAUUUCAAAAUAGUUACAAUAUUUCACACCGUGCUUUUGAAAUUUUAUAUUAUUCCCAAAGUGCUAAAUGAGAAACAUUUUUCUAAAACAAUAUCAAAGGUGGAGGCAUUCAGCUAUCACGCAAAUAUAGAGGGGCCACGAAUAAUGCUGAGGGGACCAAAACCUUGACACCAGUUGACCAGCAGUGGGAACAGUGAUCCCUUGACCUCAGAGAGCUCCCUGGGUGUCAGACCAGCUCUGCAGAACCACUUAACCCCUCCUGCACCUUGUCCUUUUAUCCACUAAUACUAAAUGCCAAAAACUAAAAAACCCAAAUUUGUGAUACAGUGAUAUAUGUGCUCUUUCAAUGCAUUAAAAUACAAGAUCUAGCUGUAGGUCUGAUAACUACUAUCAUUUAGAAUUAGC
Molecule: long non-coding RNA, 3405 nt
Filed under: Homo sapiens (human)
Lineage: Eukaryota; Metazoa; Chordata; Mammalia; Primates; Hominidae
Description: HSALNT0169179
Source: RNAcentral